This 309-nucleotide unclassified non-coding RNA is filed under the name plant metagenome. RNAcentral describes it as "partial contains 5.8S ribosomal RNA, internal transcribed spacer 2, and large subunit ribosomal RNA". The stretch from base 1 to 105 matches the Rfam family "5.8S ribosomal RNA", at positions 50 to 154 of the family's 154-position model. The record is from RNAcentral.
GAAAUGCGAUAAGUAGUGUGAAUUGCAGAAUUCAGUGAAUCAUCGGAUCUUUGAACGCACAUUGCGCCCCUUGGUAUUCCAUGGGGCAUGCCUGUUCGAGCGUCAUUUGUACCCUCAAGCUCUGCUUGGUGUUGGGUGUUUGUCCCGUCUCCGCGCGUGGACUCGCCCCAAAGUGAUUGGCAGCCGGCGUACUGGUCCCGGAGCGCAGCACAUGUCGCGCAAACGAGUGCCUUGGUACGGCGGCGUCCAUAAGCCCCUCUCUCACGCUCUUGACCUCGGAUCAGGUAGGGAUACCCGCUGAACUUAAGC